Molecule: non-coding RNA, 3050 nt
Organism: Sus scrofa (pig)
Lineage: Eukaryota; Metazoa; Chordata; Mammalia; Artiodactyla; Suidae
Source: RefSeq, a predicted model, not a curated record
CUGCUCUGGUUGGGUGACCAGAAUCCAUAGCAGUGAGUAGGAAAAAAAAAAAAAAAAAACGAAAGCAAAUAAAGCGGCAUUUUCUCCAUAAUAGCUAAAUGCCAGUACUCAGGCUAUUUGACCGCUUUAUCACUUAAACUUAACUUGAUGUUCUGACCACACCUGUUCUAAAAAAUCAAAGCCACACUGGAUGUGGCUCCUGGCUUCGCGCCCGUGGUGGGCCGCGUGGCGGGGGUGGGGUUAGUGAAGCUGAAACUACAUUUCCCAGAAUUCCUCUCCCCACAGACAUCCGGUUAGCGGGGCGUGGACCUCCCGUGAGCCUUGGAAGGUCGAAGUGACGCGACAGGGGAGCCCAGAUACAGUUCAGCUUGAGGGAGCGUCCCUGGUUGCAUGGUUUGGCAGGACAAAACUGAGGACGUAAGCCCGGAAGACAUCCUCUCAGAUAACUGGGUCUGCCCUGAUGAGGGUUUUAAAAGAACCAAGAGGAGCAUUUGUCAGAGACCAUCAGCAGCCUGCAAAGCUCAAAAUAUUUACCGUCUGGCUCUUUACAGAAAAUGUUUGCUGACCCUAAUCCAAACCGCGCAGAGCUCCUGCAGGGCUGGAGAUGUGAAGGGGGCCGUGAGAUGUGAUCUGGGACAACUAGCCUCUAUUUGCUGAGCCCUCGGCCAGGUUCAGGGCAGACAGAGAUGAGCAGCACAGAGUCCUGCUAUGUGCUCUAUCCGCCCAGUCCCUGCGAGUCUGCAGAGAACUGCAUUGUGGGAAGAUCCUCCACCCCCUCAAAGGACAAGAUGCCAUGGCAACCGUGAAUGCCGGGUCUGAGUGUACCAAAUUUUCAUGCUUUUAGUUCCAAAGAAGAAAAUAAAAAAACCACCUAAAUGUGCUUCCUCUCUUCAAAGGUUAUUUUUUAUUGAGGGAAAAUAAAAACAAAGUCACAGAAUUCUUUUUUUGUAAGAUAGCUUUGGGGGCAUAGAGUGACCUUUUGAGCGGGCGGAGAGGUCCAAAUAAAAACACAAAAUGUGAAUAAAACUCUGAGAAGAUUGGAUGAGGACCAAGUAAUGCUUUUAUUUAAGAUUCCAUCCAUGCUAAGGGCCGAGGCUGAUAGAUAAACUAAUGAAUUCACAAGGCAAGUAGUUAUCGAGUGGCUGCUCUGCCUGGCACUAACCAGGCCAAGGGAAUCCAGGUGUGUGUAAGACACAAGGUUUGGUGGAGUCUCUUCUUCCAUUAGCAGAAGAAGAAAGAAAAAAUGCACGUACCUGCCGUCUCUUUUCCAGGAGCUUAGAAAAGCAGAAGCAAAUGUGAGCGGCUACUCAUUCCCUCCAGGGCCUUUUUCAUCCCAGUGGGCUAAGACAGCUUAUGUAAAAGAAGCUCCAGCACCAAGUGUGUUCCAAGUUCACAUGGGUAAUGCAGAUAAGACCUGUGUCUGGGACUCAGGAGGAUGGCCCAGUGGGCUGGAGUGAUCUGGGAGGGCUUCAAGGAGGAGGCAAGUUUUGACUUGUCCCAUAAAUGAGAGAUUUUUGUUGGGCAGAGAGAGGGAGGGCAGGUGUUCUGAGGGAAGAGUGUUGAAGGUGACACAGUUUCUCUGGGUCUCAGCAGCUGGACUGACUGGCUCCUGGACCAGGAAGCCAGGCUGGUUGUGGAUUGUGGAGCUUUAGAGGACUGGACAUUGUUCUUUAGGCAAUGAGAAGUAUGACAAGUUUUGGAAUAAAGAGGGGGUACAUACAGAACUUGGCUCCACAAAGCUCACUCUGCCAGGAGUUCACAGCGUGGGUGGAGCACUGGAGGCCAGAGCCACGUUUGGGGACGAAUGCCUUGGCUGGGUGAGAUGUGCUGCUUACUUAAGAGUGACAGGACCCUCUGUAAACCAUCUGACAACAAAAGCUGUUGUGGAAAGUCUGGAAUCACCUUGUGUCCUGCGUCUGUAGGGCAGGGGUUUCUUCUGGGGGACUGGUUUUACUAUUUCAUGUGAGGGGGUUCAGGACACAAUAGUCCACAGAUGGCACCUUGGCCUAGGGACUGUCCCCAGCUGGAGGCAUUAGAGAAAACAGCAGAAGCAGGAAGGAUACUCUGACUCCACUCCCUCCCGCCCUCCCUUCUUCCCCAAAAUAGGUCAUAAAACUCCCAUUUUUAGCACCAGAGAUGGGGAAUUGGGGAGCCAAGAAGUCUGUACAAAGAAACCUUGUUAAACUCACGCUCAUCUUCCUAUGUCUUUGCCAUGCACUCCCCCAAGCCCAAGCCCCUUUGUUUUGUCAAUUCUUCACAAAUGUAUUGUCUCUUCAUCUACAGGGUAUAAAAGCUGCCUACUCCGGUCAGUUCUCCAGGUCACCAUUCUCUUGUGACAAUUUCCAUGUACAUGUAAAAAUUCAAUAAAUUUGCCUGCUUUUCUCCUUUGUCAGUUUAAUUUUUGGACCCAGCCAGCGACCCUAAGACAGUUGAGGAAAACUCCCCCCUCCCCUUGCAGAUGUCAGUCCCUUUUGGAAAUCUCAGUGUCUGACUGUGGAGACUGCAGGAUAGCCAGUGAACUUGGCCUGAGAAAGGUCACUUCAGUGUCUGAGGAAUGGUGCUGGGCUGUAUCCACCCAGGGGAGGAGACAAGCGUAGUUUAUAUCACUCAGAAGGCUCAGAAAACCCAACUGUCAAAGCAAAUCUUGCCAUGCUGCAGGUGGGGCUAGUGCCCUGUCCAUCUGCUCUCUGGUCACUGUUUGGGGCAUGCUGGGGGCCGGCUAUGGCAGGUAUCUCCAGCUCUCCACUGGAGGGCGCUCCCUAGCACACUUGGUCAAGGCGGGCAGAAGUUAGUAUGCCCUGGGACUAGCCCUCUGCUAACCUUCAUGUUAUUACUUGAGGGAUACACACCCCACUUCCUCACCCCUGUCCCAAAGGUGGGACAACUCUGUGCCCUGUUGUAUGCUCUCUCCCAGAGUGCUCAAUGUGACAUCCCCAGUUGCCCACAGUGUGUCCCCAUUCAUCCCACCUCCUCUAUUGGUGGCUCCCCUUCCUGGCCUCACUUUCCCAUUCCUGUAGUGGGACUUCCUGGGACCACCUCUCAAAUAGACU